GGGUCCAGUAGCUGGGACAUGGUCAGUGGU
Molecule: non-coding RNA, 30 nt
Filed under: Homo sapiens (human)
Lineage: Eukaryota; Metazoa; Chordata; Mammalia; Primates; Hominidae
Source: RNAcentral